UUCAAACGCAGGGUACUCUAGCAGAUGGCACAGUGAUUGCUGUGAAGCAGCUAUCAGCUCGAUCGAAACAAGGAAACCGUGAGUUUGUGACUGAGAUUGGCAUGAUUUCAGCUCUACAACACCCUCAUCUGGUAAAGUUGUACGGCUGUUGCAUUGAAGGAAAUCAAUUGAUGCUUAUAUACGAGUACUUGGAAAACAACAGCCUUGCUCGGGCAUUAUUUGGUACAAACCGCAUACAAAUGUCUAUUUGUUCUAACAUGAAUGUGAAGUAUGUGAAUAUGUGUUUGUGUAUGUGUGUAUCUGAGUUACUCCUUUUAUUUUGGUAAUGAAAAGGGACACAAGAGUCUCAGUUGACAUUAGACUGGCCAACAAGAAUGAAGAUCUGCAUUGGUAUAGCUAGAGGGUUAGCUUACCUCCAUGAGGAAUCAAGGUUGAAGAUUGUGCAUAGAGACAUAAAGGCCACUAAUGUGUUGCUUGAUAAGAAUCUAAACCCUAAAAUAUCUGACUUCGGUUUGGCCAAGCUUGAUGAAGAAGAAAAUACCCACAUUAGUACCCGAAUUGCAGGAACUUAGUAAGUCUCUUUUCAGAUUCAUUCUCAAAUCUUCAUUGAUGUCAAACCUAUAAGAAGCUGUAUUUAAUUGAUGAUGUUAAAUUUGCAGUGGCUAUAUGGCUCCUGAGUAUGCAUUGCAUGGCCAUUUGACAGAGAAAGCGGAUGUUUAUAGUUUUGGGAUAGUGGCUCUCGAAAUUGUUAGCGGGAGGUGCAACACUAAAAGCCGCCCAAAGCAAGAACCUUUCAUUCUCCUUGAAUGGGUAAAUUAAGUUCUCAUUCUUUCUUCCAUUAUGAAUUUGAAUGUGGCAAUUAAAUUUUGUGUGUUUUAUAGGCUCAUGUUUUGAAGGAGAAUGGGAGCUUGUUGGAAUUAGUUGAUACAAGGAUUGGCUCAGAUUGCAACACAGAUGAAGUCAUGGCAAUGAUCAACAUUGCACUAUUGUGCACAAAUCCCACUUCUUCAGCUAGGCCUUUAAUGUCUUCGGUAGUGAGCAUGCUUGAAGGCAAGGCUGAAGUUCAGGAAUACCUCACAGAUUCAAGCAUUUCUUCAAAUCGUCAAAUGAGUGCAGAGAUUAUGAAAAAGUUGUAUCGGAAACUUGAAGAAGAUGAUACAAAUGUUAGCCAAACAAGGAGUAUGUUAGCUGAUGGGCCAUGGACCAAUUCUUCUACAUCUGCUGCUGAUCUUUAUCCAGUUAGUUUGACUUCUGGAUAUUUGCAGAAUAGAGAUUCCACAAAUUAGAAAAAAAUUUGUAUAAUUCUCGUCUGGUUUCUCCCCAGAAAAUUCGUAUUCCUUUGAAACCAAGGCUUAAUUAGCUCAUUUGAUUCAGUCAAAAACCGAAAGUCACAUUCAAUAAUUUUGACAUUUGAAAUACUAAAAUUAUAAGUCAAGUGUAUUUUGAUUUUAUGCAAUUUUAUACAUAAAAUUUUGAUUUGAUAUAAUUCUUGUAAAUUAUUUACAUAAUUAUUGAUUUAACAUCAUUUUAUAUUUAUAUAUUGCAUACAUGAAUAAUUAAAUUUAUCCAAUUUAAAAAUAAAUUGAUAUAUUUAUUUUUUUAAGAUGUGCAUGAUUAAAUCAAAAUUAAAAUUUUAAAUAUACAUCUGAACCACAAUUAGGGUUACACGUAUAUAAUUACAAAUUAAAUUAAAAUUCAUGUAUACAAUUACACAUUAAAUCACAAUUUAUAUAUAAUUUUGAUAUUUAUCUUUUUUAACUUCUCUUAUUAUCAAACUUCAACCGAGGCUUUUGGUUCUUGAACAGGAAAUGUUGAAGAUGUUGAAAUGCGGAUGCUUCAGCUGACUGGGAAAUCCAAAAUCUUUCUUCUCUUUUGAGUCAUGUUGUAACCAAAAAUUUAAUCAUAUUCAUUAUUUGUACUAAUUAAUAACCUUAUAAAAAUUAUAUUAUAUUUAAAUUUAAAUUUAAAUAAUCUUGUAUAAUGAAAAAGAAAAAAAGAGCAUGCAGUUGGUGUCCACGUAACAUGAUAACUUUAUCGAGUAAAAAUAAAAUAUAAAAAUAUUAAAUACAAAAAAUGACAUUUAAAUUUUUUUGACAGUAUUCUGUAUUUUAAAUAAAUAAAAAAGUCUUUAAUGCAAAUUAGGUUGGUGUACGCAAAAUUUUUUUUAUUGAAAUUUCAUUGGAAUUGAUAUAUGAAUACAUUUAAUUUUUAAUUAAAAAUAUUUUUGUUUAAAUAUAUAUAUAGAUAGAAGUAAAAAAAAAAAAAUAGGGAGCUAGAUUUUGAUUGAUAAAAAAGAAAAAGUAUUCCAUCAUUAUAGGAGUAUUUUAGAAAUAUAAUUUGGCUGCUAUUGGUGAUAAAAAUUUGAUUUGUUUCCAACAGUUUGAAUUUCUUUUUGAAUUUUUAGUUAAUUAACUUGAAUAAUAAAUUAAAUUAAUGUGACUAUAUUAUUUCCUAAAUUUUUGAUAGUUUUGAGAAUGUACAAAUUGACCCGUUUAAAAAAUUACAAAAAAUUCAAAAUUAUCUUUGGAAAUUCAAAAAUAUAUAUGAAAUAUAUUUUUCAAAAUUUUAUUAAUAUAGAUUAAAAAUAAAAUUAUUAAUAUAUAAAUAUAAAAAAAUACUAAAUUAUAAUUUUUUAGAAAAUCCAAAUUUUAAUUUUUUUAAACAAGUAAAUUAUCAAACCAUGUUUGUUGUAUUAAUUAUUUUAUUUUAUUUAUCUUUUUUUGCUUUAAAAGAUUUUCAUAUUUAUGCUUUUUAACUUGAAAUUUAAUAAAAUUACCGACAACAUUUUUUUAAUUUAAUUUAAAUAAAUUUAUUUAACUCUAUUCAAAUUUUAUUUCAUUGAUUUAAUUAAAUUUUAAAAAAUAAAUUAAAUAAAAAUGACAAAUUACUGACCCAUGUCCUUGUAUAGAAUUAUUAUAACAAUUGGCUAUUCGUUGUCUUCCUGCGGUAAAGUUGUGAGGUCAUUUGUCUCAACUAGCUUCCUGUCAAAGGUCCCUAUCCCUGUCCUUUUACUUGAGUCGGUGGAAUUAAAUCAUGCACUACAAUUAAUUGGGUUGAUAAGUAUAUUUAUAAAAUUUGUAUAAUUUGAUAAAUAAAAUAUUUUAUUUUAGAAUUAAAAACACAAUACCUUUAUUUCAAUUAAAUUUAUCUACUUAACAAUAAAACAACUAAUUUAAUCCUGUCCCUUAAAUACUCCGGAUGCGACACAGCUAUCAUCUCUAAGAAAUUUCCAACUUUCGUACUUUAAUACCUUUAUGAAAACCCAAUCUUUCUACCCAUUUUUUAUUCAUUCACAUCAAGCCAAAUAAAAGCUCUUGAAUUCCACUCUAAAAUAUUCCUUUCAUAUGUUCUUUUUGGGUCAAUAUUCAUAGUUUCUUGCCUUACAACGAGCUACACUGCGAAAGAUGAUACAGUAAUUUCAUUUGCAUGGGUGCCUCGCUGCCUCCCUCCACCCAGGGGAAGUCAGGAAAAACUUUUAGAGAAUGGAAAUUAAAUUGUUUACAUUUUUAUAAAUUUUUGAAAGAUUAAAUCAAAAUUUUAUUAUUUUUAGGAGGAUAAAUAUUAAUUUAAAAUUUUUAAAAAUUUAAAGGACUAAAAUGAUAAAUUUUUCAUUUUAAGGGGGGACGGAACCUGCUAGCACCCUAAAUCUGUCUCUGGUUUGAAGUUUAAAUUGCUUAAUUCUUUUUGUUAAUGUUAUUUGUUUUCAUAUAAUAUCAAAUUUAAUCUUUAAUAUUUACAUUUUUUAUCAAUUUAAUUUUUUAUAAUUAAAUUUAAUCUUUUAAAAAAAUGUCAAAUUUAACUAUUAAUAUUUUGAAAAAAAGUUAGAAUUGAGUUUUUAAUAAAAAUAUUAACUAAAAUAUUAAAAUUUUUAAAUAUAAAAAAGCAAUCUAGGUAUAGUUCGUUAUAUUCCUAUGCAAGAUAUUUUUUUACAACUAGCUAAUAUGAUAAAAGCAUUUUCAUUUACCAAGUCAUUCGAAAACAUCCAAUCACAGUACAAUAAUUGAACCUUUGUUUUAGUGUUCACAUUACCUCUCUUUUUUCUUUUAUUUUCCAUAUGCAGCCAAAUCAUUUUCAUCUAAAAGAAAUUUCCAACUUCCUUUUAGAAAAUUAUUUUCCCAAGUUUCACAUAUAGCCUACGUCUCAAACAAAAUUCCAGCUCUCAUAGUCCAAUAUAUUUAUGAAAACCCAAUCUUUCACCCCAUUUUUUGUUGAUUCAUAUCAAUCCAAAACGAAAAAAAGCUCUUGAAUUUCAAUCAGAAAAUACUCCUUUAAUAUGUUGUUUCUUCGACAUGUUUUGGGGUCAAUAUUCAUAGUUUGUUGCCUUACGACGCUUACAAAUGGAGCUACACUUGCGAAUGAUAAAGGUAACUCAUAAUACUAAGAGCACGUUUGGUUCGCUGUAUUGGAUUAGAGGUGUAAUGGAUUAGAGGUGUAAUGGAAUAGAUGUGUAAUAGCAAAUCAACUGUUUGGUUGAAUGUAAUGGAAUAGAGGCGUAAUAGUAAUCUUGUGUUUGGUUGAAUGGAAUAGAGGUGUAAUAGCAUAAUGGAAAAAACUAAAAUGACUAGAAUACCCUUAGCAUAAAUUUAUUUUGGUAAAUGAUUAUUGUUAUUGUUAUUUAAAUUUUAAUAAGAUUAUUAAUAUCAAUAAUAAAUAAUUUAAUCAUAUUUAAACAUAAUUAUUAUUAAAUAUAUUAUAAUUAAAAUAUAUAAUUUAAUAAAAUUCUUAAUAAUCAAUAUUCUUAUAUGAAUUUACUCAAAUCAUAAUAUAUGAUACUAUAAAAUAUAAAUUAACAUAAUUAUUAUUAAAUAUAUUAUAAUUAAAAGAUAUAAUUUAAUAAAAUUCUUAAUAAUCAAUAUUCUUAUAUGAAUUUACUCAAGUCAUAAUAUAUGAUACUAUAAAAUAUAAAUUAACAUAAUUAUUAUUAAAUAUAUUAUAAUUAAAAUAUAUAAUUUAAUAAAAUUCUUAAUAAUUAAUAUUCUUAUAUGAAUUUACUCAAAUCAUAAUAUAUGAUUGUUAUUGCUUGUGAUAUUCUUAUAUAAGAAUAAUUAAUAUUCUUAUAUAUUAUUCAUGUCUGAAUAUAAUGCUCUCAUACAAAAUUUUCCAAUUCAUAAUUGUUCUACAAUUUGAAAAAUGAAACUUUUUAGAUGCUUAAUUCAGGGCGAUGUUAGAAAAGCAAAUAUCAAUUCCCAUCAUCAUGUCAAACCUUUAGGUUGAACAAAAGAGUAAAAAGGGCACUGCAGCUUUAAGUUUUGAAUUAACAAUACAACUCUGAUUCACUUUAGCAGUCAUUCCUCCCUAAAAACACAGAUAUGAAUGAUCAGUCUUAAAAAGAACAACAGCUCAAUUUUACUAGACAGAGAUUUGCAUUCAUCAAAAUCCAUACAGGUCCGGCAACAAAAUACCCCUCCCCUACUACUGUCUCAUAAAAGGAAAGAGAAUAAAAACACCACCUUAGAGUUCCAGAGUAAUAAUAUCACUGUAUAGUUGACAGAUUUCAUAACGUUUUCAUCUAAAUUACAUGUCCAAGGACCAGGACAUAAACAAAUGCCUGGACCAUUCUUUACACUGAAUAACACGAUCGCCCAAAUAAGUAGCAUUUGAUUUCAGUAACUAAUGAACACGUACAACAGGUACUUCGAGUGCAAAGUUCAUGAAGUUCUUCAUAAGUCCACAUCUGCCAUUAUCACACUUUGUCAGUAGUCAGUUGUCGGUAUUGCCAUUUCGAAUUGCACGACGAAGCUCAGCUAAGAAAUCCAUCUGUGAGCCAGAUGAAGGCCCGGUAUUGUUUGCUGGGGACAUCAUCUGAGGAAAAGCAAGUCAAAUGCAUAAGGAAUGGGGACCGUGAGAAGAAGAAGAGGUGAAGGAUGAAAGAAUACCUUAUGGGGAAGUCUGAAAUUCCUCCAGGCUGAAUCACUAAUUCCAGAGUACAGAACUGGUAUUUUUGAAACAAGGAAAAACCACAGUAAAAGGAAACAACCAUUAUGGAAGAAAAUAUCCAUCAAUAAACAAGAAUGGAAACAAGGUCAGACAUAAGGAGAAACAGGAGAAACAAAAAAUAGAAAUAAAAAACGACAUGACAAAGGAUGCCCAAUAUGACACUCCCAAGAGCCCCUAAACAACAGGCAGCAAACACAGAACUGCUUGCAACCACAAAUCUAAAAGAAAGAGCAACAUUCAGCACAUUAGUAGCUUUCUUUAACAUCAUAUUAGCAACAACACAGAGUGGUUCAGAAGCUGGUGGAAUUAUUUUAAGAAGAUUCAUAACCCAUGCUUGGGAUGAGGAACCUUGGAAUAUAUUAACAACAGAGUUCUUAGAAAACCAAUGAUUUAUCCACUAGCAUAAUUCAGGCUGGUUUGUGCUAGUCAUGAAUUAACUUGGUCCAAACUAAUCCUAAAUAUCUCAUAUGGAUUGGAUAUCUUCGAUGAUGCUGACAACCUUGUAAUUCACUCCUUCCAAUCCCUUCAACUUAACUUAUGCAUACAUCAGUUAUCAAAGUACGGCAUCAAUCUUCGUGGGAAUGGUUGUCUCAUCCCCCAGCAAGGAAAUUAUCUCAUAGUUAGCAGUUAGAGGCCACUAUUUUACUUAGCCAGAUCAACCAACUUCGACCACCUAGUCAAAACGAAACUGAUAAUAACUACUACAUCCUCCACUUUUUCCAGAUCCUAACACCAUCAUUAAAAAAAACACUAUUGUUUUUCCUUGAACCAAUAAACAACAAUAACAAAAAAAACAUCAAAAUAAAAAUAGCUAUCAUUCACCAAGAUUAACAAGUUAUUCCACAAACUAAAAGAACAAAGAUAAGCAUAUUAUGCGAGCAAAAAGAAAAAAAGAAGAAGCAAAAUAUGCUAUAGCUUAUAGGUACAUUUCGACAUAAAAUUUGAUGCCGUACUAAAAUCCAUAUCAAAUUAAAUAACCUACAAUUUAAACAAUGACUUUGCUCUAAUACUGGGAAAUCACAUCAAUGCAUAUCAAGAUACACACUAAAUAUACAAGAAGAAAGACAUCUGAUAUUGAAAUACCAUCAAUCUGCAAAGAUGAUCUCUUUACAAUAAAGUCUCUAUAGCUAUUCAUACAAGAAUAUGUAUAACAACUUCGACUAACAGCUACUAUUAACUCCUUAGCAGACUAUAAUGGAUAGCAAAUAGUUACAAUUGAACCAAUUGUAUAACAGCUUCGACUAACAACUACUCUUGACUAACAGCUACUGACUAUCCUUAACAAUGCAGCAAUGCUAAAACAGUGCGAUCAAUCUCAGGCAUCCAAUAAGAACCUUCAAAUUUUGUCAUACAAAGAAAUACUAAGAACAACCCUCUACUUGGAAAAGCUAAAUAAUAAUUAAUCCAAAACAAAAAGAAAACUAAAACUAACAGAUGCUCCCUUUUCAAAGAAAAAAAGAAUAAACAAUAGAAAAUUGUAUUCUAUCUUAGUUAAGGUUAUUCAUUCAACCAUCUGGGCUAAACCCAAUUAGAAAAAGCAGAGAAACAGCAUUUACAAACUUUCCAGUUCCUUUUCCUUGGUUUUCAAUGCAACCAAACAGAUAUUUAACACGAGAAAGAAAAAAUAAUAAGAAUUACCUGGGGAGAUAAGAAUUGAAACUGGUUGUCUUCUGGUUCAAUUUUAGGGUAUUUUAUCAGCCCCUCCAUUGAUUCUUUUCAUUUGGUUUCAACAAAAAAAAAAUUAAGGAACUACAACAAGAAAUAAAUAUAAUGAUAACAUAUAUUCGAUAUUCAUAACUCAUCACGGAUUCGACUGAAAAAAUAACUAAACGAGCAGCAAAAUUCAACGAAAAUGAUAAAGAAAUAAACUGCUGAUAGAAAGGUAUUUGACUUACAGUUUUUGUGCGAAGCUGAGAUUAAUAUUUUGGAUUCGAUCAAACAACAAAAAUUUGGAGCUAUAAUGAUACAAAAAGAAAAGAAAAGGUUGAGAAGGAGCAAAUCAGUUGUAAAGAAAAAGAAAAUAAAAGGUGAAGCCUGGGAAGGUAAAAGAGGGAGGGUAAACUAAGAGAGCGUUUGGUUCAGUGUAUUUCGAGGACAGCAGAGGAGAGGGUCGGGUAGGGAGGGAGGGUAAAACAGAGAGAUGGGGAGGGAAGCCGGACGCAAUAGCUAUUACAGCGAAUUGGGAAGGGAUUAGAAAACACAGCAAUUUGGGGAUUAAGGGCGUAAUGUAAUACGCGCGUAAUAUCUAUUACAGCGAACCAAACGCCGGAAUAGGGGCGUAAUGUAUUACACGCGUAAUCGAGGUGUAAUGGAUUGGGUAAUACACUGAACCAAACACUCUCUAAGCUUCUAACCUUAAUUUGAUCAAUUCUUUUUAUUAAAUCUCUCUCUUCGGUUUUUUGCUACAGUGGAAGCUUUGAAAUGGAUUGGUAAAACGUUGGGGAAGACAGGGUGGAACUUUGAUAGUGAUCCAUGCAGCCAACGCCAUAGUUGGGUAGAUCAAUCCACACGUUAUUAUGCUAAUAAUGUUACAUGUGAUUGCUCCUUCAACAAUAACACCAUCUGUCAUGUGGUUCGCAUGUAAGUAUAUACAUGUAUAUAUACAUAUAUAUAUCUUUCUUAAAAAGAAAAUUUAUGCACCAUUGAGUUAUGUCCAAAUUUGUUAGAUUAGUUCAUGGGUUAUAUCAUUUGAACAUAUUCUAUUAUAUAUACACGUAAUUAUCAUGUUUAAGAUAUAAUAUUAUAUAGUCAAUCUAUUCUGCUGACAAAUAUCUAAACCGGAAAUCACAAUCCAAAUACCUAUUGCCAAAAUUUAUUAAUAUGACAGUUUUUCUUUUUUUGAGUCAUCAGUGCUACACCCAACUAGUACUUGUCCAAACACUACUCUUAAAAAAUUGCCUGAACAUGUGUCAUGAGUAGUGAUGUUUUUAAGUGUCAUUGGGGUUAGUUUUUGAGGUGCUUUGAUGCUUUCCUUGGUGUGUUCGUAUCCAGAUUGGCUAUGGGUGCUGUGGUUCUUGUAUCAGAUUUAAUUUUAUUGCAAGGAGUGUUUAUUAUGCUGAAGGUUUAGUUCGGUGUUUCUUAGUAGGUAUUGUUGAGAUGGGUGUCUUCCUUUACAAUAAAGUUUCAUUGGUUAAGAUUUAGAUUAUAGUUAAAAUUUUUUAAAAUUUUAAACUUAAAAGUUAUAAUAAAAUGUUGUUAUUUAUAUAAAAUUUCAAUUAUGUAAAAUUAUAAACCCUAAACCCACCCACAUAAAUUUCAUAUUUAUUAGUAUUAAGUAUAAUUUUGGUUAGUAUAUAUUUUUAGGUUAAAGAAAUUUAUAAUUGAGAAUUUGAACUUCAUUUCAAAUAUUAUGAUCAAUAAAUUUAUGAAACUGAAUUAUUAAGUAGAUAAAAGGAGGAGAAAACAAUAGCCAAAUUAAAUAAUUUAUACAUUAGAUAAAGCUUUUAAUUAGUACGUUAAGUUGAAAUUUUUUGAGUUGAGAGGUGUAGGGGGAAGUGAAUACCAAGGUAGUAUAAUUACUUUAAGACCCACUGUUGACUAUCCAAUGGAAUCGCCAUCACAUGUCGGUCCAAGCUUUUGUUGGCCGCCAAUGUCAUUUAAUUGCCCUCCCUCUCUAGCUUUUGCAAAAUGCUUUCACAAAGAAAUUAAACUUUUUCACUAUUUAGUUAAAUUUUAAUUUUAUACAUUAUCAACUCCUAAAUAGUAGUGUUUAUAGUAUAUAAAUGCCACAUGCAUAUUAAUUUAUCCUAAAUACUUGAACAAAUCAAAUUAUUUUUGCUUGAGUAAUUUAACUCUUGAAAAAUAAUAUUUAAUACUAGUAAGUAGUGAAUAUUAUACAAUUUUUAAUUAAGGUUAAAAAGUUCAUAUCGUUAGUUAAAAAUUUUCACUUUUUCAUUAUAGAUUUUAGCACCCUAACAUAAACUUUGUUUUGUAUCAGAGUGCUCAAGGCUCAAAAUCUCUCGGGUACUCUCCCACUAAACUUGAACAAUCUCCCUUUCCUGCAAGAAAUGUAAGGGCGUUUCCAAAGUUCUUUUUCAUGAUAUAUAAAACUUAUUUCUUUUCAUCAACUUUGGAUCAAUUAAUUAACUAUAUACGUAUAUCUACUAAUUUGUUGUUUUAAAACCAUUUCUUACAGUGACCUAACUCGAAACUAUCUUAAUGGCACCAUUCCACCGGAAUGGGGUUCUUCUACGGGACUUGUCAGCAUGUAUUUUUCUUUCCUCAUUGUCUAUCUAUAUAUGCCUUCCGUGAUGGUUCUGUGUCUUUCCGCAUUGUGUAUGUAUGUAAAAAUGUGUACAUAUUCACAUAUAUAUAUUUACAUAUCUUUCAUCAUGGUUGUAGGAACAAUACAUACAAUCCUUCAUCUUUUGAUUAUAGAAAAUAAUGCUGCUAAAUGCAAAAGAUGUGUUGUAUUUCAGUUCUCUUCUUGGAAAUCGAUUAACUGGUCAAAUCCCAGCAGAGUUAGCAAAUCUCAGAAAUCUUACCAGUUUGUGAGUUAGAUUAUAGCAACUUCGACUACAUAUAAUAUAUCAUCAUUUCAUGAUUAUGAUUUUUUUCAUUAUUUUACUAAAUGUCUAAUGGAUAAUUAAUUUUAUUUAUUGAAAAAAAAUUGUGUAGAGUCCUUGAGAACAAUGGUCUUUCAGGAACAUUGCCUGCAGCACUGGGGAAUCUACCCAAUAUUGAGAGAUUGUAAGAGAGACUCUUCCUGUUUUGAAUUUCAUUUCAUUACAUGCAGUAUUUUUAUUAUAUAAAUUAUUUAAAAUAUAUUCUCUGGUUGUUUCAGGCAUCUUAGUUCCAACAAUUUCACAGGAAAAAUACCUGAAACAUUUGCUAGGUUGACAUCAUUGAAGGAGUUGUAAGCAAUUGUAAUGUUCAUUUUUACUAACUUAUUUUAUAUGAUAUGUUUUAUAUUUAUUUUGUAUUCUCAACAGUCGGAUUAGUGACAACAACUUCACGGGACACAUUCCUGAGUUUAUAUUUCGAAAUUGGGAAAAUCUUGAACAGAUGUGAGAAUUUUAAUUAUAACAUUAAUGCAUUUUGUAAGUCUAUUAUUUUUCAAUUAAAUGGAUCCAUCCUUCCUAAUGACAGAUAUAUGGAGGCAAGUGGUUUGAUUGGGCCAAUUCCAUCCAUUAAUGCUACUUUACUUAACUUGACAUACAUGUAAGCACCGAUCUUAACCAUCAAGAUACUGACAAUAUUCAACACUAUAUGAUAAAAGCAGCUAUUUAAAUCCUUAUUUAUAAUUGUAUCUGUUUGUUGGAUAUUGGUUUACAGAAUAAUUAGUGACUUGAAUGGAACUGAUACAUCUUUUUCACAAUUGCUUAUCGAUGCCAAUUUGCCUAAAUUGGAAAGACUGUAAGCAUCAACUCUGAAAUCAGGCAAAGAUUUAUUAGAGUUAUGUCAUAUUGAGGAGUUUAAAACAAUGGGAUUAUUUUGUGAUUGAAUUACAGGAUGUUGAGGAGCUGCAAUCUCAUUGGAGAGAUACCUUCUUCUUUUGGGACAUUCACAUCCAUAAAGAUAUUGUAAGUAUAAUCUAGUGUUUUGAGAGGUCAGGGUUUAAUUUGAAAUUUUUUUCUGAGAUAACACGUGGUUUUAAUAUCAUUUUUAUAUAAUUUCUUGUAGAGAUCUCAGUUUCAACAGACUCGGGGGAGAAAUUUCAGAAAAUCUUUCUACUCUUGAUAACUUGAAUUUUUUGUAAGGAUAUGGUUUUUAAUUUUAGUGUAGAUUUCCCUUUUCUUUUAAGUAUAUACACCUUUGGAACAAAUGGAAAUAAAAAGAAAAACUUGAUGAUUUCUUUUGAUUAGGUUCUUAAAUGGAAAUAAUUUUACUGGAAAAGUCCCUUCAUGGAUACUGAAUACAAAGGAAAAAAUGUAAGAUUCAGUUCGUAUUGUGUUGAAUUCCUUUGAUUAACCAAAAUAAAAUUAUAUCGAUGUCAAGCUUUUAAUCAAGAUUUUUAAUGAACAUAAUAUUCUAAACUAUUCUAUUUGCAGCGAUCUUUCAUACAACAACUUCACACACACAGGUGUAACAGGCUGUCAACAAAAUAAUAUCAUGUAUGACAAGUUUCUAAUCUAACAUCAUUAGUGGAUCUUUAUUGUAAAUGGUUAUAUAUAUAUAAAAUAUUUGUGGUUGAUUGUGGAUCUUCAGGAACUUAUUCUCAAGCAUUGCAAGAGUCAAUAACUCGUAAGUAUUAAGACAACAACAAUCAUUAAACUAAGUUCGGAGAUUUUAAUGGCUUUGCUUUUUAAUUGUUUAAUCAGAGGAAUUGUUCCAUGUUUGAGAAGCCAAACUACCUGCACAGCAGGAUGUAAGUAAAAAUACUUUACACUUCAUCUAUGCUAAUAUCCAUUUAUAUUUGAUACACUACUCAAUCGUCAGGUAGCCAAUGGCCAAUGAGACAUACAAAAAUAAGUUCAUCCUGUCUUAAUUUUUUGUGUCGAGUUACUGAUCCAAACUGUUUUUAUAUUCCUCAGUUUCGCACUCUGUUCAUAUAAACUGUGGAGGUGAAAUAACAAGAUUUAAUGACACCGAUUAUGGUGCCGAUAACAAUCAAGCCGGGCCUUCGACAUUUCAACAAGGUACUAGGAACUGGGCAUUUAGUACCACCGGAGUUUUCCUAGACGAUGACCAUAUGGACGACAACUUAGCUUUUGACAAUAGGCAAGUUUCUAUCAGUGGUGACGGUGCAGAACUCUACAGAAAUGCAAGGCUUGCACCUACUUCUUUGACAUACUAUCUUUUUUGUCUCGCCAAUUCAACUUAUACAGUAAACCUCCAUUUUGCUGAGAUUCAGUUUACUAAUGAUCAAACUUAUAGCAGCUUGGGAAGACGCAUAUUUGAUGUUUACAUUCGGGUAUUUUUUUUUAGUAUCAUUCUUGAUAGUAUGUUAUCCUGAUUUGGGGGAGUGUCGAAUUUUUAAUGUAUAGUAGCAAAUAUUGCUUUACAACAUGUGCUUGCAUGGGACGGCUUAAAUGGAAUGGAUAAUAAUUGCAGGGAAAGCAGGUGCUGAAGGAUUUCAAUAUUAAAGAAGCAGCAGGAGGGGCAGGCAUACCGAUAGUAAAAUAUUUUACUGUAAAUGUAACCGAUGGCACUUUGGAGAUCGGUUUCCGAUGGGCUGGCAAAGGGACGACUUCUAUGCCUCAGGGAAUCGUUUACGGUCCUCUUAUCUCAGCAAUAUCUGUUUUAGAUCCUAGUAGGUUUUCAAUUCAACUGACUCUUCUUUUUACGUUGUUGUUAUAGCACACGUAUAUAUCAUGCUUUCAACCAUGAUUUUCAUGUCAUCUUUGCUAUUAAUUACUAUGUUAUAUUGUUGUAGAAAUAGAUGAUAAAUUUUCAUCAGCAAGUACCGGUGGUUUUGCGACAGCUGCAGUGGUCGGUAUUGUCGGCGGCACAGUGUUUGCUGCUUCAGUGAUUUUAGGCGUCCUUUGGUGGAAUGGUUGUUUAAGAGAACAGAGUACAUUGGAACGAGGUAUUUAGACAUAAUAUCAUUAUACUCUGUUACAUACAAGGAAAGAGUACGACAGUCGUACCGUCUUUUUCUAUUGAUACUCAUCACAAUUGAUCCUUAAUCAUAUGUUAUGUGACUGAAAACACGUUUCUGAUCGCAAUUGAAACCCAGCCAUUGCUUAUAUUUGGCUUAACAUGUUCCACAGAUCUAAAAGGUAUAGAGUUGCAGACAACUUCCUUUACCUUAAUGCAAAUUAAAGCUGCUACAAACGAUUUUCAUGCUUCCAAUAAGAUCGGAGAAGGUGGUUUUGGUCCCGUUUACUGUUGAAUAUUGGCAAUAUCCCACAUUAGGAAAAGAUAGAAAGGGAGGGGGUUUGGUUUGUUAUAUAUAGAACCCCUCCCCCUUUGGUUGUAUCAUCCCAAAAUCUUCUCCUUUAUAAUAUUUCUAGAAGAAAUAUUAAUUUGGUAGUGUCCGAGGACGUAAGCUAAAUUGGCCGAACCUCGUUAAAUCUCUGGUAUUUUAUUUCUUAUUUGUUUGCUUAUAUUUAAUAGCUUUAUGUUGGUUAUAUUUAUUUAGUUAUUAUUGCUAUAAAUAUCUAAGUGAGUUCUGUCUAGUUGUUGGGUUUUAAGCGGGACCAUUUGUGACCCCUCCAAUUUAACUGGGAAUUUUCUUAGUAUAAUUGUUGGCAUAAUAAUUAUCUAAAUAUUUCUGAUAAUAUUGUUAUUAAUAUUAUCGUCGCUUCCGCAACAAUUGGUAUCAGAGCCAAGGUUUUGUAGUAUGCUCUGUGUUUGCAGCUUAGUCUGAUCUUACACAUCAGAAACAUUUUCCUAAAGCUUGUGGGUAUUCUGCAUUUGGUGGCUAUUAAGUAGAAGCUAUGGCAAAAAUGACAGAAGAAAAACCAUCCAUAUCAACAACUUCCACUUCGUACAUUUUGCCGAGGAUUGGAACUGCAAAUACGAGAUUUGUAGUGGAAAUUUUUGAUGGAACAGGUCAUUUUGGCAUGUGGCAAAGUGAGCUUCUAGAUGCCCUCUUUCAACAGGGUCUAGAUAUUGCCAUUGAGGAAGAAAAACCAGAAGGGGUUGAUGAUAAAGAAUGGAAGACCAUCAACCGAUUGGCAUGUGGUACAAUUCGAUCAUGUCUUUCCAGAGAGCAGAAGUAUACAUUCAGUAAAGAGACUUCUGCAAGUAAAUUGUGGAAAGCAUUGGAGGAGAAAUUCUUGAAGAAGAACAGUCAAAAUAAGUUGCAUAUGAAGAAAAGACUGUUUCGUUUCAAUUAUGUUCCUGGUACCACGAUGAACGAGCACAUUACCAAUUUUAAUCAGUUGGUGGCUGAUUUGUUGAAUUUGGAUGUGACUUUUGAAGACGAAGACUUGGCGUUAAUGUUGUUGGGAUCGCUUCCUGAGGAGUUUGAGUACCUUGAAACUACUCUACUUCAUGGAAAAUCGGAAGUAACUUUCAAUGAAGUAACUGCUGCAUUGUAUAGCUAUGAACUACGCCGAAAGGAUAAGUUGAAAGGUUCAGGUGAAGCAGCAGUGGAAGCAUUGGUAACAAGAGGUCGUCAGCAAAGUCAGUCUAAUGGGAAGAGAAGAAAGUCCAAAGGUCGAGCUGUUGCCAAAGAUGAAUGUUCCUUUUGCAAAGAAAAAGGACAUUGGAAGAAAGAUUGUCCAAAAUUGAAGAAAAAAGGGAAGACUCCGCAAGAUGCAAAUGUUGCAGAAUGCAAUAGUGAAGCAGAGUCAGACUUUUCUCUUAGUAUGACAUCUUCAACAUUAUAUGCAGAUGAGUGGAUCAUGGAUUCUGGUUGUUCCUAUCAUAUGUGUCCCAUUCGGGAAUGGUUCUUUGAAUUUCAAAAACUAGAUGAAGGGGUUGUUUACAUGGGUAAUGAUAACACAUGUAAAAUAGCCGGGAUAGGUUCAAUUAAACUGAGGAGUCAUGAUGGAUCUACUAGAAUUUUGCGGGAUGUACGAUAUGUCCCAAAGUUGAAGAAGAAUCUCAUCUCUUUGGGGUCGUUAGAAUCUAAAGGCCUAGUUGUGACAAUACGAGAUGGAGUUCUUAAAGCAACUUCAGGAGCAUUGGUGAUGUUGAAAGGCAUAAGAAAGAACAAUCUGUAUUACUACCAAGGUAGUACAGUGGUCGGGACAAUAGCAGCAGCAAUUUCGAGUACCAAGAAGGACGCUGAGGCAACACAGCUGUGGCAUAUGCGUUUGGGCCAUGCUGGUGAAAAAUCCUUGCAAACUCUAGCCAAGCAAGGAUUAUUGAAAGGUACAAAGACUUGCAAACUUGAAUUUUGCGAGCAUUGUGUUCUGGGAAAACAACGAAGGGUGAAAUUUGGCACUGGGAUUCACAAUACUAAAGGUAUUCUGGAUUAUGUGCAUUCUGAUGUAUGGGGACCGUCCAAGACUCCAUCACUUGGAGGAAGACGUUAUUUUGUCACCUUUAUUGAUGAUUUUUCCAGACGAGUUUGGGUGUUUCCUAUGAAGAACAAAGAUGAGGUGCUUGAAGUUUUCCUUAAGUGGAAAACUAAAGUUGAAAAUCAGACAGGAAGGAAGAUUAAGGUUCUCCGAUCAGACAACGGUGGAGAAUAUAAAAGCGAUCCUUUCCUAAAGAUAUGCCAAGAUUGUGGCAUAGUAAGGCACUUCACCGUAGGUGGAACACCGCAACAGAAUGGGGUGGCAGAGCGUAUGAAUCGAACGCUUGUGGAGAAAGUUCGAUGUAUGUUAUCUAAUGCUGGAUUAGAUAGAAAGUUUUGGACUGAGGCUGUGACGUACGCUCAACAUCUCAUCAAUCAUUUGCCAUCAUCUGCUAUAAAUGGCAAGACUCCUUUGGAGAAAUGGUAUGGAAAACCUGCUACUGAUUAUGACACCUUGCGCAUUUUUGGUUCUAUUGCAUAUUAUCAUGUGAAAGAAUCAAAGUUAGAUCCAAGAGCAAAGAAGGCUCUAUUCAUGGGCUUCAAUGCUGGUGUUAAGGGAUAUCGUUUGUGGUGUCUAGAGGCAAAGAAGACGAUAAUCAGUAGGGAUGUUACCUUUCAUGAAUCUGCCAUGUUGAAUAAGGUAAAUCCAGAGGGAGUGAGUAGUACUUCGCAGCAGGUGGAGUGUACUCCGCAGCAGGUGGAGUUUGAGCAGAGUGUGGUAAUUCCAGCAGAAGGUACCACUAGUGAUUCUUCAUUGGCAGAUGCAGAGUCAAAUGAGGAAGAGGUUUCUACCCAAGAACCUCAACAGCAAUCAGAGCCAAUUGCAGUCAGAAGGCAGAGACGAGAAAUUCAGAAACCUGCUCGUUUCACUGACAUGGUAGCUUAUGCACUUCCAGUUGUUGAUAAUAUUCCAUCCACUUACACCAAAGCCAUUCAGAGUUUAGAGAAUAAUAGAUGGUUAGGUGCAAUGGAAGAGGAAAUGCAAUCUCUAGAGAAAAACAAGACGUGGAAGCUGGCACAACUACCAAAAGGGAAGAAGGCGAUUGGUUGCAAAUUUGAAGACACUAUUGAAGUUAGUGUUAUGAGAAGAUGUUCGAAGAUGUGGAAUAUCGCCAAGGUGGAGAUUUGUUGAAUAUUGGCAAUAUCCCACAUUAGGAAAAGAUAGAAAGGGAGGGGGUUUGGUUUGUUAUAUAUAGAACCCCUCCCCCUUUGGUUGUAUCAUCCCAAAAUCUUCUCCUUUAUAAUAUUUCUAGAAGAAAUAUUAAUUUGGUAGUGUCCGAGGACGUAAGCUAAAUUGGCCGAACCUCGUUAAAUCUCUGGUAUUUUAUUUCUUAUUUGUUUGCUUAUAUUUAAUAGCUUUAUGUUGGUUAUAUUUAUUUAGUUAUUAUUGCUAUAAAUAUCUAAGUGAGUUCUGUCUAGUUGUUGGGUUUUAAGCGGGACCAUUUGUGACCCCUCCAAUUUAACUGGGAAUUUUCUUAGUAUAAUUGUUGGCAUAAUAAUUAUCUAAAUAUUUCUGAUAAUAUUGUUAUUAAUAUUAUCGUCGCUUCCGCAACAUUUACAAGGUAACCAUAUGCAACACUUUCUGCAGGAAAAUUGUUCAUGAUGGAACCUGGUAAUCAUGUUUUUCUCAUUUCAAACGCAGGGCACUCUAGCCGAUGGCACUAUGAUCGCUGUUAAGCAGCUAUCAGCUCGAUCGAAGCAAGGAAACCGUGAGUUUGUGACUGAGAUUGGCUUGAUUUCAGCUCUACAACACCCUCAUCUUGUAAAGUUGUAUGGAUGUUGCAUUGAAGGAAAUCAACUGAUGCUUAUAUACGAGUACCUGGAAAACAACAGCCUUGCUCGUGCAUUAUUUGGUACAAACCUCAUCCAAAUGUCUAUCUGUUCUAACAUGAAUGAGAAGUAUGUGAAUACAUAUAACUGAGCUUCUUUGUAUUUUGGUAAUGGAAAGGGCCACAAGAAUCUCAAGAAUCUCAGUUGACAUUAGAUUGGCCAACAAGAAUGAAGAUCUGCAUAGGUAUAGCAAGAGGAUUAGCUUACCUCCAUGAAGAAUCAAGGUUGAAGAUUGUGCAUAGAGACAUAAAGGCCACUAAUGUGUUGCUUGAUAAGAAUUUAAACCCUAAAAUAUCCGAUUUCGGUUUGGCCAAGCUUGAUGAAGAAGAUAAUACCCAUAUUAGUACCCGAGUCGCUGGAACUUAGUAAGUCUCUUUUCAGAUUCAUUCUCACUGUAUUCAUUGGUGUUAACCUAUAAAAAUGGCUGAUAUAAAAGCUGUAUUUAAUUGAUGGUGUUAAAUUUUCAGUGGCUAUAUGGCUCCUGAAUAUGCAUUGCAUGGCCGUUUGACAGAGAAAGCAGAUGUAUAUAGUUUUGGGAUAGUGGCUCUCGAAAUUGUUAGUGGGAGGCGCAACACUAGAAGCCGCCCAAAGCUAGAACCUUUCAUUCUCCUUGAAUGGGUAAAGUAUAACUUAUCAUUCUUUCUUCCAUUCUUACUCUUGUUCUUUCCAGAAGAAUUUGUUUUCUUCAAUAUAUUACAUUUCCGUAUCAACACACGCAUAUCAUUCAUGCUGCAUAGUCCGUAAUGAAGGAAUUCAUACGGUCCUACUCUUCAAGGGUUCAUUGGAAAGCUUUUAAUAGAAGUUAUUAUACAUAUGAAGGAUUAUACUAUAGAAUGUCAAACACAUAUCACAUAUACCAAACACAGGUACUUUAUAUACAUGACAAAGAAAGUUUAUGCAUUUGUCAGUUUGAGUUUCAUUUUUUUAUCAAAUGAAUUUGAAUGUGGCAAUUAAAUUUGUGUGUUUUAUAGGCUCAUGUUUUGAAGGAGAAUAGGAACUUGUUGGAAUUAGUUGAUACAAGGAUUGGCUCAGAUUGCAACACAGAUGAAGUGAUGGCAAUGAUCAACAUUGCACUAUUGUGCACAAAUCCCACUGCUUUAGCUAGGCCUUUAAUGUCUUCGGUGGUGAGCAUGCUUGAAGGCAAGGCUGAAGUUCAGGAAUACCUCACAGAUACAAGCAUUUCUUCAAAUCGUCAAAUGAGUGCUG
This 18826-nucleotide long non-coding RNA is filed under the name Gossypium barbadense (sea-island cotton). RNAcentral's name for it is "long non-coding RNA (GBAR_LNC023138)". Lineage: Eukaryota; Viridiplantae; Streptophyta; Magnoliopsida; Malvales; Malvaceae. The record is from RNAcentral.